UGCAGCGCAUGCGCAUUCAGCUGAUGACGGCCAAAGGAGGAGGAGAGUCCCCAGCGCCGAGGGAGCCCGGCGCUGGAGAAAGGUGAGUUUUUAACCCCCUUCCUCUCCAUUCAGCCUGGCGGGAGGGGGACCCUGAGGGUGGGGGCACCCUCAGGGCACAAUAGUGCCAGGAAAACGAGUUUGUUUUCCUGGCACUAUAGUGGUC
This is a non-coding RNA of Pelobates cultripes (western spadefoot toad), 205 nucleotides long. The record is from the annotation of a GenBank genome assembly. Lineage: Eukaryota; Metazoa; Chordata; Amphibia; Anura; Pelobatidae.